GUCACCGGAAGAGGCGGGGUCUCCGAAUUGGUGGCGGGAAAGGAGGUGUCUGGAAAAGUCCCGGCGGACUCACCAGCCGCCCGCCCCCCUCCGGUACCCGCACCCACGCCCGCACCAUGCCCGCCGCCGGCUCCGAACUGCCGCGCCCACCGUCACCGCCCGCCGCGCAGGAGCGGGGCGCCGAGCCGCCGUCGCCGCCGCCGCACGGGGAGCUGCAGUACUUGGGGCAAAUCGAGCACAUCCUCCGCUGCGGCUCCCGGAAGGACGACCGCACGGGCACCGGCACCCUGUCGGUGUUCGGCAUGCAGGCGCGCUACAGCCUGAGAGAUGAAUUUCCACUGCUGACAACCAAACGUGUUUUCUGGAAGGGUGUUUUGGAGGAGUUGCUGUGGUUUAUCAAGGGAUCCACAAACGCUAAGGAGCUGUCUUCCAAGGGAGUGAAAAUCUGGGACGCCAAUGGGUCCCGAGACUUCUUGGACAGCCUGGGAUUCUCCACCAGAGAAGAAGGAGAUCUAGGCCCGGUUUACGGCUUUCAAUGGAGGCAUUUUGGGGCCGAAUACAAAGAUAUGCAUUCAGAUUAUUCAGGCGAAGGAGUAGACCAACUGCAAAAGGUGAUUGACACAAUCAAAACCAACCCUAAUGACAGAAGAAUCAUCAUGUGUGCCUGGAAUCCAAAAGAUCUCCCGCUCAUGGCCCUCCCGCCCUGCCACGCCCUUUGCCAGUUCUACGUGGUGAACGGUGAGCUGUCCUGCCAGCUGUACCAGCGGUCGGGAGACAUGGGCCUGGGCGUGCCCUUCAACAUCGCCAGCUAUUCCCUGCUCACCUACAUGAUCGCACACAUCACAGGCCUGAAGCCAGGUGACUUUGUACACACUUUGGGAGAUGCACACAUUUACCUGAAUCACAUUGAGCCGCUGAAAAUGCAGCUUCAGCGAGAACCAAGGCCUUUCCCAAAGCUCAAAAUCCUUCGAAAAGUUGAGAAAAUUGAUGACUUCAAGGCUGAAGACUUUCAGAUUGAAGGCUACAAUCCUCAUCCGACUAUUAAAAUGGAAAUGGCUGUUUAAAGUGCUUUUAAAGGAGUUGUUUGAAGCAUAUUUACACCCAGUGCCAUUGGUCUGCUUAGUUCCUGCCUCAAACGUUUAGCUGAACCCUCCUGAGCAAACAUAUGCUGUGUUCUUGUUUGGAUGCUGCUUUGAAAUGCAGACUAAGGACCAUCAAGGUUGGCCGGAACUCCCCCUUGGUCCUGCUUUGAGGAACUGAAGUGAAGGGGCAAAAGCAGAAUAAUCACGGAGUGUUCACUUUUAUAGUUUAAACUAUCUCAGGCAUAAUACUAAAACCCAGCUGAAGGAAGAGCCAUUACUCUACAGUUAAGCCCCCAGCUGGUCUCAGUCCCAUCGCUCUCACUCCUGAACCUGAUGUUCACCUUUGCCAUGUGUGUCUUUAUGCUUUCAUGAGGUGCUCCUCAAGAUCUUACUGCAACAGAACAUUUAAUUCUAGGAGGAAAGAAAAGCAUAAUAAAGCCGUGUCUGCAGGUGACUGGAAGGAGGCUGUCCUGACUUAAAGCUCCCCUGGGACAUGUUAAGAAAUAAAAUGGAACUAGAAGAUGCAGCCAGAUCAUGGCAACUCCAGUGCUGGGGAGAGACUGGACAGAAGCAAAAAGUACACAUGUGAUGAAAACGGGGGCUUCACAAAGUCAGAAACAGGAGCUGGUUUUGGAAAGAGUUCUGGUUUCCACCUGGUUGCAAACUGCCCCCACACUGCCAUAUACCUAGAAAACAGCCAGUCAGCUACCAGGAUCCCACCCUCUAGAAGAAGACAAGGAGUCUAUUCAGUGGCGGGUCUCUGUUGUUACUGCCCCAUGUGAAGGGGAAGCAAAACUGCAUGGGAGUUACUGAUGUGCCAGGGGACAGGGUUCUUAGUGCCUCUGGUCAUGAGAGCAGAAUUUUUAAAGAUCUGGCCUGGAUUGGGAGACAGUCCUGAAGUUGAUGCCACGUCACUGACCUGUCUUUAAGGCUCGCAGAGACAGAUAUGAAGUCGAAUAUAAUCAGAUGCUGCACCAAUUCACAGAGGCCAACUCCACCAGCAUGCGGGCACACGGGAACUAAAACGAAGACAGAUUUCUACUUAAUGCCAAGUGGGGCAGAGAGGGGGACGUGAAAUCGGGGGACCUAUGGCUUUCCCUAGUGCCUGAGAGUGAUUAAAUCAGGUU
This is a non-coding RNA of Vicugna pacos (alpaca), 2209 nucleotides long. NCBI's taxonomy places the organism in Eukaryota, Metazoa, Chordata, Mammalia, Artiodactyla, Camelidae. The record is from RefSeq and is a predicted model, not a curated record.